Molecule: long non-coding RNA, 922 nt
Filed under: Sus scrofa (pig)
Lineage: Eukaryota; Metazoa; Chordata; Mammalia; Artiodactyla; Suidae
Description: lncRNA (ENSSSCG00070018294.1)
Source: RNAcentral
AUGGGAGCUCCUCGUUUCACUUUCAGUCUCUGCAUAUGGGUGAUGAUGAUGCAGGAUGUGUCUUUCUCUGACAUACUUCACAAAACACCACACCCUCCAGGUCCUGGUUGGAUGGAGGACCUGAUAGGCUCCCCCUCCCUCUCUCCAGGAAGCCCCUGUGCAGUUCCAUUCCCUGAGGUUUGGAUCAUCUGUGAGGUUUGGAUCAUCUGUGAGCCAAAGGUCUUUCUGCUCCACCCUCAGCUGUUCCUGGCGGCCAUGGUGUCACAGCCAUUUCUGAAUGUUGGCAUCUUGAGUUUUCACCUUCACCCCAUCCUGCUUCCUUUGCUUUUUGCUCAGUUUGUCAGCUCUUCCCUCAAACCCUCUCUUCUCUCACAGGUGACUCAACACAGGGAGAAGAAACCAGGCUGGGCGGCCACACCCUGUUGGACAUCUCCCUCCCUCUCUAUCCAAGGUCCUGGCUCACAAUCCAGCCAUCUCUACAUUUCCUGAGAGACCCUGUCACCAAGUUUCUUUGGGGGGGGGGUGAGGGGAGGUGGGGACACUAGUUUGCCUUCUACCAAUAAUUAGGAACUUUUUCCACUUUGAAUACAUUAGAAGCCAAUUCCAGUAUAAACACGCCUUGACUUAUCUUUGCUAUUGAUUCAAACCCAGGCCACCCUUUCCCUGAGAGUUAAGGAGAAAAGCCUUGCAAGAGCCCCUCAGGCCCCCGCCUGCACUGUGGGUGGGAAGGGAACUUGGUGCUGCCACGACAGAAACCAGUGUGGGGGUUCCUUGAAAAAGUGAAAGUAGGCAUUCCCACUGUGACUCAGCAGAAACAACCUGGGAUAGAGUCCCUGAGGACCCACCUUGGAUCCCUGGGCUCACUCAGUGGGGUGAAGGAUCCGGGUUUGCCACAAGCUGUAGUGUAGGUCACAGAUGUGGC